GCUCUCGUGGCCUAAUGGAUAAGGCAUCUGACUUGGGUUCGACUCCCACCGUGAGUG
Molecule: transfer RNA, 57 nt
Filed under: Selaginella moellendorffii
Lineage: Eukaryota; Viridiplantae; Streptophyta; Lycopodiopsida; Selaginellales; Selaginellaceae
Rfam family: tRNA
About the family: Transfer RNA (tRNA) molecules are approximately 80 nucleotides in length. Their secondary structure includes four short double-helical elements and three loops (D, anti-codon, and T loops). Further hydrogen bonds mediate the characteristic L-shaped molecular structure. tRNAs have two regions of fundamental functional importance: the anti-codon, which is responsible for specific mRNA codon recognition, and the 3' end, to which the tRNAs corresponding amino acid is attached (by aminoacyl-tRNA synthetases). tRNAs cope with the degeneracy of the genetic code in two manners: having more than one tRNA (with a specific anti-codon) for a particular amino acid; and 'wobble' base-pairing, i.e. permitting non-standard base-pairing at the 3rd anti-codon position.
Source: Rfam by way of RNAcentral